AUUGAACGCUGGCGGAAUGCUUUACACAUGCAAGUCGAGCGGCAGCGCGGCCUUCGGGCUCGCUGCGAGCGGCGGACGGGUGAGUAAUUCAGCGGAACAUGCCCAGUCGUGGGGGAUAACACUUCGAAAGAAGUGCUAAUACCGCAUACGUCCUGAGGGCGAAAGCGGGGGAUCGCAAGACCUCGCGCGAUUGGAGUGGCCGAUGUCAGAUUAGCUAGUUGGUGGGGUAAAGGCCUACCAAGGCGACGAUCUGUAGCUGGUCUGAGAGGAUGAUCAGCCACACUGGAACUGAGACACGGCCCAGACUCCUACGGGAGGCAGCAGUGGGGAAUUUUGGACAAUGGGGGCAACCCUGAUCCAGCCAUUCCGCGUGAGUGAAGAAGGCCUUCGGGUUGUAAAGCUCUUUCGGCAGGAACGAAAAGGUGGGCUCUAACAUCGUCCGGUAAUGACGGUACCUGAAGAAGAAGCACCGGCUAACUACGUG
Molecule: ribosomal RNA, 484 nt
Filed under: uncultured bacterium
Lineage: Bacteria
Description: partial 16S ribosomal RNA
Rfam family: Bacterial small subunit ribosomal RNA
Source: RNAcentral